Molecule: ribosomal RNA, 432 nt
Filed under: uncultured bacterium
Lineage: Bacteria
Description: partial 16S ribosomal RNA
Rfam family: Bacterial small subunit ribosomal RNA
Source: RNAcentral
AACGAACGCUGGCGGCAUGCCUAACACAUGCAAGUCGAACGAGACCUUCGGGUCUAGUGGCGCACGGGUGCGUAACGCGUGGGAACCUGCCCUUAGGUUCGGAAUAACUCCCCGAAAGGGGUGCUAAUACCGGAUAAUGUCUUCGGACCAAAGAUUUAUCGCCUUUGGAUGGGCCCGCGUUGGAUUAGCUAGUUGGUAGGGUAAAAGCCUACCAAGGCGACGAUCCAUAGCUGGUCUGAGAGGAUGAUCAGCCACACUGGGACUGAGACACGGCCCAGACUCCAACGGGAGGCAGCAGGGGGGAAAAUUGGACAAGGGGCGAAAGCCAGAAACAGCAAGGCCGCGGGAGUGAUGAAGGGGUUAGGGUUGUAAGGCUCUUUUACCCGGGAUGAUAAUGACAGUACGGGGAGAAUAAGCCCCGGCUAACUCCGU